Molecule: long non-coding RNA, 1153 nt
Organism: Myotis myotis
Lineage: Eukaryota; Metazoa; Chordata; Mammalia; Chiroptera; Vespertilionidae
Exons: 3
Source: RefSeq, a predicted model, not a curated record
GGGGAUUGAGUCUGCAACUCAGGUAUGUGCACUUGACCAGAAUUGAACCCAGGACCCUUCAGUCUGAAAGCUGACGCUCUAUCCACUGAGCCAAACUGGCUAGGGAACCUGUACUAUGUCUUAAUUAUUUCUUGUUCCUCCAAAUAGUGAAACUGUCAUUAACUUGCAAUAUAGCAUGUAAUACAUCAAAGUCUUGAAGUCAGAGUAAUUAUUUGAAUUGCUGAAUAAAAUGAAGUUUUUACGGUUCACAGGUUCUUAAAACAAUUUUUUAAAAGGCAAAUUAUGAAGUUCCAAUUUGAGGUGCUGGGAGUCUGCCUUCCUGGAUGGAUAGAUAGGAUGAUAAGCAUAUUCACUGUUUGGUUUUAAACAUAGAUUUUGCUAAUUUGAGAAGUGUUUGGAAGCAGUUUACUUUAGGAAGUAGCUUCAACAUAUCCCCUACAAUCUGUGUCCACCUGGUUCUAGAUAUAGGUAGUAUGGGUAUGGACCUGCUGGGUGUCCUUUGAACAAUGUCAGUAACCCCCUAUCUCCCUCAGCAAAAAUGCCACAGCAGUUUUCUUCCUUCUGUCAGAAUGGCUGUCUUAGGGAUUAUUUAAUAUACACUAGUUGUACCAUCCCCAGUCCUUUUAUGUGAUACAAAUGUCUUGGGGAGGGUUAAUUUGCAAGAAUUAAUCAUGAACAUUUUUUCCAAGAUCUCAUGAAAGGAGGGAAGACAUGUUAUUUGUAAGGGGAGAAGGAUGUCCUGGAAUUAGAGAUGAAGACCUAUAUAAUAACAAAAUGGCUGAAGAUAUUUUUAGCACACCCAGUGUUCCAGGAAACUUACACAGAUGUUCAUGUUUAAUCUUCAACACCCCUCAUGAGUUUUCUUUCAGGAAGAGAGUCCAUAUCAACCAUGAAGUAGAUGUUCUUAUAACUUAAGAAGUAGAUCUGUGCUGCAGUGUUACACUGAGGUAACCAUGGAAGUGUGCUACUUGGACUUCCCUUCAGGACAAUCUUCUAUCAUGAUAGUAGUGAGCAGUCACCUUCCAGCUACUGCACUUUUGUUUUUUUGUUUUUUUUUCUUUUAAGUCCUUACCUGUGGGUAUUUUUUCCAUUCAUUGCUAGAGAGAGUGGAAGGGAGGGAAGAGGAGAUGAGAGAGAGAAACAUCAAAGUGAG